Cynoglossus semilaevis (tongue sole) is the source of this 819-nucleotide long non-coding RNA. RefSeq lists it as uncharacterized. The transcript is spliced from 3 exons. Lineage: Eukaryota; Metazoa; Chordata; Actinopteri; Pleuronectiformes; Cynoglossidae. The record is from RefSeq and is a predicted model, not a curated record.
CAGGGAAGGUCUUUAUGUUUGAGCUUUCUCUCGGUUGUAUAUCGUGUGUGACAAACACAAACGUGCGGUUUCUCCAACACAGCUCAGUCGGAGUGGGUUGGCUGCAGAGUGUAGUUUUACACCUGUCCGCAGCGUCGUCUUCUCACUACACCAUUGUCCGGUGUGUGUGUGUGUGUAAAGAGCACAGGCUCUGCUUUAAUUAUGAUGUAAAGCAGCUCCACCUCAACGACACUGUUUCGCACGCACACACGCAACGUCGUUUCACUGCGCCACCGCGUUACACAAUGCGGUGCUCUUUCUUCCAUCCUCUACCUCCUAAUCCUGUUUGUGGAGCUGGAGCCAAUCCCAGGAGUCACCAGUCAAAGGCAGGGUACACUCAGUUGAACAGUUGACCAGUCCAUCACAGAACCACGUUUAGACAAAAAAAACAUUCACACUCACUGAGGUCAACUCAGAGUGUCCAAUUAACCUAAUCCACAAUCUGCAUAUUUUAGGACUGUGGGAGGAAACCAGAGAAACCACACACACACUGAGGGAACCUACAACUCCAUAGAGAACGACCAUCAUCUGUUAAAGCCAGUCAGGUGGGAUCUCCAUACGGACGCGGUUCAGUGCUGCUAUUCCUGCCAGAAGUAAAGCCACGCCGACCUACGAAGACACGACGGAAGAAGAAGGUGUAACAGUGACGGUGAGGACCCCCGGGAUGCCCCAGGCGCAGGCAUGGAAGAGGAGAGCCUUCUUUUCUAUUGCCUCGCUGCCCCAUUUGGGAACGGCAGCCAGGAACCAGGUGAUGGUCAAAAUCACCCACCACACGCUGCC